This 75-nucleotide transfer RNA is filed under the name Lichtheimia hongkongensis. RNAcentral's name for it is "tRNA-Arg". The record is from RNAcentral. Lineage: Eukaryota; Fungi; Mucoromycota; Mucoromycetes; Mucorales; Lichtheimiaceae.
UUAAAUUAAUUAUAAUAUAGUAUUAUCUCCUUUAUUUUAGUUAAUUGGGGUGGUUAUUUAUUUAAUUAAUAUAAA